UAGGGAAUCUUCCACAAUGGGCGCAAGCCUGAUGGAGCAACACCGCGUGAGUGAAGAAGGGUUUCGGCUCGUAAAGCUCUGUUGUUAAAGAAGAACACGUAUGAGAGUAACUGUUCAUACGUUGACGGUAUCUUACCAGAAAGGAACGGCUAAAUACGUGCCCG
This 164-nucleotide ribosomal RNA is filed under the name uncultured bacterium. RNAcentral's name for it is "partial 16S rRNA". It matches the Rfam family "Bacterial small subunit ribosomal RNA", at positions 355 to 511 of the family's 1533-position model. The record is from RNAcentral.